This 393-nucleotide ribosomal RNA is filed under the name uncultured bacterium. RNAcentral describes it as "partial 16S ribosomal RNA". It matches the Rfam family "Bacterial small subunit ribosomal RNA", at positions 523 to 918 of the family's 1533-position model. The record is from RNAcentral.
AUACGGAGGAUGCAAGCGUUAUCCGGAUUUAUUGGGUUUAAAGGGUGCGUAGGCGGGACUGUAAGUCAGGGGUGAAAUACUGCAGCUUAACUGUAGCAUUGCCUUUGAAACUGCCGUUCUUGAGUACAGUUGAGGUAGGCGGAAUGGGGUGUGUAGCGGUGAAAUGCAUAGAUAUACCACAGAACGCCGAUUGCGAAGGCAGCUUACUAAGCUGUUACUGACGCUGAGGCACGAAAGCGUGGGGAUCAAACAGGAUUAGAUACCCUGGUAGUCCACGCUGUAAACGAUGAUUACUGGUUGUUAGCGAUAUAUAGCUAGUGACUGAGCGAAAGCAUUAAGUAAUCCACCUGGGGAGUACGUCGGCAACGAUGAAACUCAAAGGAAUUGACGGGG